Molecule: long non-coding RNA, 2625 nt
Organism: Triticum aestivum (bread wheat)
Lineage: Eukaryota; Viridiplantae; Streptophyta; Magnoliopsida; Poales; Poaceae
Exons: 3
Source: RefSeq, a predicted model, not a curated record
AUCGAUUGGGUGAAAACCCUAGCCUCCAUCCCCAUCGUGCCCCUUCCCUUCGCUCUUGCAGCCGCCGCACUCCCGUUCGGUCUCCUCUCCCAUCGCCGAGCUCGCCUCUGCCACUGCUCUCCCCGUCCCUCUCGCGCGGCCACCCCUCCUCCUCCCUGGACAAGGCAGCAGCGAGUGGCAGCAUAGGAGCAAGGCUGGGGACUGGGUAGCACGGUACGAGGGUCACGUUGAGCACGCCCCGGCGGCCUCUGAUUCGUCCUCUCGACCGGUAGCCACCUCUGCGCGUGGGACGACCUGUGUGUCGCCACGUCACCAGCGACACAGGGCCAAAGGCAACGGCCGCGCCUCGCCAUCACGGGGGGAGCAUCGGCCGCCGAGACGGUCGUCCACGUCACCACUGUCGUUGUCCUUCAGCAGGAUCGGCGGGUAGUGACACUUUCGUCGUGCACAUCGCUUGCUGUCAACUUGGCCACCUGACGGAGAUGGAAGAGGUACCAUCCAGCCUAUGGAGGUCGAGCUGCGGCGAGCAGCAGAGGAGGCGUGCAACUGCUGCCUGGCCCGAGACCUUCUUCACAGCAGCAGCACCACCACCAUCGUUAGAUGCAGUGAAGACCAGUAGCUGCGGGCGCCGUCAACCAUGACCCAGUGAAACCAGCCAUCUCCGGCGAGCUCACUCCCCUGCACCAGCAGAAGCACCGCAACGGCAACUGCAACAUCAAUUUCUACGGCGGUGGUAGAUGCCGUCGUAAGCGCCACCAUGUCAAAAAGCCAAGGAUUGAAACUAUGUGCAGUGAACCGAGCUUUUCCGAGAGGACCAAGACAAGAGGUAACACACUGCCUAGAGUAGUAAUAUGCACCAGCAUUUGGAUCAUAACAACCUAUAGUUGUGAUCAGCCCUUAUUAUCUGUAUUCAUCAGAAAAAUGUAUGUAUAUAUCAUGCCUGAUUUUUGCCUUUCUGCUUUUUGGAUCAGUUGUUGGCAAUAUAAAACUGUAGAUCAAGGAAGUGAAUAAUCUAUGCAUGGAAAAUAAACAAAAGAGGGUCAUAUAGUCUGAAAAAAAAUAGCUUGUAUUUUCUCCGACAGCAUGGGUGGCAGGGUAAUUUAGUAUAAAUAAGAGAAAAUGGUAGUUCAUAAGGUGUAGUGACUUGUCCUAUAAUUUAUCUCUUGUCAUCAAACACAUGUUUCUCACUUCUGUACUCGAUACACAGGAUCAUGUGUCCAGUAAGUGAAUACUGUCUACUACCGAUCAUAUCUACUUAUAUGUUUGCUUUGCAUUUCCAUGUGGCUUUGCACAAUGUCUGCUGCAGGGUUAGCUAAAAUGAAACCAUGUGUGGUACGGCUGGUCGCAUGCUUGCGUUCACUCGGCAGGAGGAGCACCACCCUUCUCACGCACCUCUGAGGGGCGGCCAGCACAUCCAUUCCCUAGAGUGGUCCACUCCGGCUCUCAGCUCUGUUCCCCAACGGCGUGCCGCCUCUAGGAACGCCACCUUGGAGAUGGUCGGAGCUCUGGCGCCUCCAACUCUAUCCCCCAUCUUUACUCCGUCCAGUUUCACCUCUCUCUCUCUCUCUCUCUCUCUCUCUCUCUCUCUCUCUCUCUCUCUCUCUCUGAUGAAAACAUCAUUUUAUUCUGGCCGGAUGCUAAAGGUAUGUGAUGAUGCAGCAAGUUCUGGAUUUGUGCUUGGAGGCAAACUCAGCCGAGGGACCUUUUCACGGUUUAAAUCAAAAUGGUGUGCUGAAGAGAAAAACCUUACUUUCGAAAGAGAUUAAAAUGGAAUCUGCUUGGACUAUGUUGACCAUACAGGUUUGAUUCAUAUAUAGUCUGAAGUUGGCUGUACCUGGAUGGGUUACAGUUUGCUUCUUUCAAAAAGACGAGGUGUUCUCUCUAAAACAAUCUGUAGCUGGAUUUGUAGAUAGUUUUUUAUGUUUCUGUACAUUAACAUGAUCUCAAACAAUUCUUGGGCCAUAGGAUUGUCGUCAUGUAUGUUAUUUAGUUAUAUAGAAAAACAUAGCAUAGGACAAUGCUGCUUCUAAACCCAGCUGUUAAAUUCAUCACCGAACAAUUGAAUCCGCUUUCAGCCUAACGUUCAAUCAAGAAAGAGUCAAUUAUGUGUAUCUAUGAGCACUGUUGUUAUUCUUUUUUAAGAUGAGCUCUACUGUUCACUUGAUUCAUUAUGUUCUAUAGGGAGAGGAAGCAAAUGGGUUGGGAUGAUCUGCAUUGCCUCCAAUUGCACAAGAUUCAGGGAAUCACCAUAGCUGUAUUAUGUUUUUCCAUGAUAUCAGCAAUGUGAGUAUAUAUAUUUAUAUAUUUCCUUCUUAUUUACUUUUUAGUGAUGCUUGCUGCAGUAUUACAUAACUGAAUGUUGGUCCAAGAUUGAUAAUUAUGUUGUCCAUGAAGAACACAUCAUAUUCUUCAACUGACCGAACAAGUUACUCACAUCAGAUUCAUGUGAUGUGUCAUGUGAAGUGUCGAAUGAUGAGACGAUCAAGUGAAGCUAUCUAAGAGUAUGCUUAUGUGGAACUAUAUAAGUUCCUUAUCUCGCUGCCGCUAUGGCUUGCUGUUGCUAUGUAAUAAGUAUGAUGUUUGCAUCUCACUUUACUCGCUUUUGGAAUAAAAUAUAUAUUUGCA